AAUAACUGCUAGAUCUGACGUUACCUAAAGAAUCAGCACCGGCUAACUCUGUGCCAGCAGCCGCGGUAAUACAGAGGGUGCAAGCGUUAAUCGGAAUUACUGGGCGUAAAGGGUCUGUAGGCGGAUUAUUAAGUCGGAUGUGAAAUCCCCGGGCUCAACCUGGGAACGGCAUUCGAUACUGGUAGUCUAGAGUGUGCAAGAGGAUGGGGGAAUUCCUGGUGUAGCAGUGAAAUGCGUAGAGAUCAGGAGGAACAUCAAUGGCGAAGGCACCUUUCUGGGGCAACACUGACGCUGAGAGACGAAAGCGUGGGGAGCAAACAGGAUUAGAUACCCUGGUAGUCCACGCCCUAAACGAUGUCAACUAACUGUUCGGAGUCACUAAGAUUCUGAGUAGUGAAGCUAACGCGAUAAGUUGACCGCCUGGGGAGUACGGCCGCAAGGUUGAAACUCAAAGAAAUUGACGGGGGCCCGCACAAGCGGUGGAGUAUGUGGUUUAAUUCGAUGCAACGCGAAGAACCUUACCCGGUCUUGACAUGGUAGGAAUCUUGUAGAGAUACGAGAGUGCCUUCGGGAACCUACACACAGGUGCUGCACGGCUGUCGUCAGCUCGUGUCGUG
This 617-nucleotide ribosomal RNA is filed under the name uncultured bacterium. RNAcentral describes it as "bacterial SSU rRNA". It matches the Rfam family "Bacterial small subunit ribosomal RNA", at positions 455 to 1069 of the family's 1533-position model. The record is from RNAcentral.